UGGGGAAUCUUCCGCAAUGGACGAAAGUCUGACGGAGCAACGCCGCGUGAGUGAAGAAGGCCUUCGGGUUGUAAAGCUCUGUUUUUAGGGAAGAAUGUGCGAUGUGUGAAUAAUGCAUUGCAAUGACGGUACCUAAAGAGGAAGUCACGGCUAACUACGUGCCAGCAGCCGCGGUAAUACGUAGGUGGCGAGCGUUGUCCGGAAUCAUUGGGCGUAAAGCGCAUGUAGGCGGGAAGAUAAGUCUGUUGUGAAAAUGCGGGGCUCAACCCCGUAUGGCAAUGGAAACUGUUUUUCUUGAGUGCAGGAGAGGAAAGGGGAAUUCCCAGUGUAGCGGUGAAAUGCGUAGAUAUUGGGAGGAACACCAGUGGCGAAGGCGCCUUUCUGGACUGUGUCUGACGCUGAGAUGCGAAAGCCAGGGGAGCAAACG
Molecule: ribosomal RNA, 427 nt
Filed under: uncultured Veillonellaceae bacterium
Lineage: Bacteria; Bacillati; Bacillota; Negativicutes; Veillonellales; Veillonellaceae
Description: partial 16S ribosomal RNA
Rfam family: Bacterial small subunit ribosomal RNA
Source: RNAcentral